Molecule: RNA transcript, 2049 nt
Organism: Myiozetetes cayanensis
Lineage: Eukaryota; Metazoa; Chordata; Aves; Passeriformes; Tyrannidae
Gene: ECSCR
Gene name: endothelial cell surface expressed chemotaxis and apoptosis regulator
Exons: 11
Source: RefSeq, a predicted model, not a curated record
UCUCACCCUGGGCUCCUUCCCGGCAUGGCCAGAGCCUCGAUCAGGCUCUGCAGCCGCAGCCACCGCCGAGAUGCUGCUCCCGGUCCUCCAGCUCCUCUGGCUCUUCCUGCUGCUCCCAGGUUCCAGAGCCUCCACAAACUCCUCCAUCGCUGCUGUAACAGGUCCACCCCAGCCAACAACACCCAGCCCUGAAGAGAAGAACCACACCUCAGAGCCGGCGCUAAAACCAAACCCAUCCCCCGGCCCGAGUGUCACCUCCGUGGGUCAAACUGCUCCAGCCAAACCCUCCACCACCACCACCACCAGCACUCCAAGCACGCUGCCAGCCUCGACUGCACGAGAUGAUGACUCCAGUGGAAACAGAAGCACAGCAGCCACUUCUCCCCCACCUCGAGAUCAAGAGCCCACGAGAAGGGAGAGAACCACGACACCAGUGACUCAAGGUGUUUCCUCCUCCCAGAGAGGCACCUCAGAGCCUGUCACGCUCACACUGAACUCCUCUGAGCCCACCCCAACAGAUGAUGAAUCACCACUGACAGUGGCAGCUUUCGGUGUCAUCAGCUUCAUCGUUAUCCUGGUAGUGGUGGUGAUCGUCCUGGUCGGCGUGGUCAGCCUGAGGUUCAAGUGUAACCGCUCCAAGGAGGAAGACAAACAGAAACCAGGAAGCUCCAUGGUGUCAGAGAGCUGCUCAGCAGACACGAGCCAGAAGGACAACAGCAUCACUCUGAUCUCCAUGAAGAACAUCAACAUGAACAACAGCAUGACUUACCCCCCAUCAGAAAAGGUGUCCCUUUUCAGCCUUGCUUUUUAGGGCAUUAACUGGGGAUCAUUUCUGUGGCUGGAUAAGAGCAUGCCUUUGAGGUUCUAUGAAGAGCCCAGAGAAUGAAGCUGACACAUGACAACCAGCAGUGACUUUCUAGGUUCUUUUUCUUUUUUUUUCCAUUGUGGAAAGAGCGAGGGUGGACUUUAUAUAUAAAUUAUUAUGUCCUUUCUGAUCAAUACAUUUCCUUUAGUGUCCUACAUAGCUUCCCCAGCUGGGGCCUAAGGGCUUUCUCCAGUUACAGCCUGCCACGCUCAGUGGUUGAUAUCUAGCUCUAUUUUUGAGAUGCCUUCAAACACUCUGAAUAAAUUCAGCAUCAAGAAGCACCGAGGCACCACCUACUUCGCUGAUGGCGUUUACAGUCCAUGACAGGCUGUCAGGAGCUCGUUAAGCAGCGUAGCCCCACGUCAGGUCAAACCUGUGUGUUUAGGAAAGCCUGUUCUGAAGACCUGAGGAGACUUAAAUGACCAAGUUCUAGGUCAAACCCCAGGAUGAUACUCCAAGCCCCUUAUCCCUGGUGCCCUCCUUGUCCCCGCAGUGGUGGGGAUGAUCACACUCACCUACCUCACAGGGUUGUUGUGAGGCUGCGUUAAUCCAUGUCUGUACAGCGUUCAGAGAGCCUGGAACUAAAGGUGCUGCUGAAAUACAAUUUGCUGUCUUAAGGACUUUAUUAUUAAUACCUGAGCUUCAGGCAGGCAGAUCACUAUCUUCCCACGUGCUUAAACACUUGAAGACUGUGCGUAGACAGGGGUUUAGCUGAGUGUACAAAGCCAGUGGCCACAAGCAAAAUGCUGAGCUGCUUUAGCUCCUGGAGUCUGGCAGUGCAAGUGUGCUUGGGAGAGCUUCCAUCAUCUCUACCACUGCUUUCCCAGAGCUUCCUGACAGACCAGAAAAGCAGCAUCCCCAGCCAGCCAGAGUCCCCACUCACCACAGCCCCAGGAACCACCAGUGCACCCCCAAGGCUGUUGGGGUAAAUACCCUUUUCCUGGAAGACUUCACUUUGAGGACAUUAGAGCUUAAUUAGAUGUUUCACUUAAGGAGACUUUCUGCCUGAGAAGAAACCCCUUUUUUCAAACAUAUUUGGACGUUUCUUUCCCUUCUGCAUUCCAGAGAAAGCUGCAGUCUCUCUCUCUGGUCUGAGGAGAAAUAAACCCUCACAGUGUUAUAGCCCUUUGCUUUGGGGAGGCCCUGGGGGAGGACAGAGAAGAUAAGAGGCCUGGCAGGGAACA